Molecule: non-coding RNA, 393 nt
Organism: Paramisgurnus dabryanus
Lineage: Eukaryota; Metazoa; Chordata; Actinopteri; Cypriniformes; Cobitidae
Source: RefSeq, a predicted model, not a curated record
UCGGAGUUAGUUUCACAGAGCAGCGCAGGAGGACGACAGACAGACACAUAAAGAACAGUUUGAAUCUCUCUCAGUCAGUCAGGGGGAGAUUAACUGACAGACUGUAUAACGUUACACGCCACCAAACAGUCUAACCAAGAAACCUUUUUAAGUUUAGCACAACUGUUUCCCGUGGAAGUUUGAAUCUCUCUCAGUCAGGGGGGAGAUUGACUGACAGACUGUCUACUUGCCACCAAGCAGUAAUUUACCCUGAAACCUUUUUAAGGUAACGUUAACACAUUUAUUAAUUUAUUUAUUAUGUUGUUUGAGUACACCACAGUUCUGUAAGUGGAAAAAUAAUUCAUAUUUAUGUGUGUUUUCUCUCUUAUGCCUGGCUCACACCACAGGAUAAUC